AGUUGAGCGAUGAAGAUUGGUGCUUGCACCAAUUUGAAGAGCAGCGAACGGGUGAGUAACGCGUGGGGAAUCUGCCUUUGAGCGGGGGACAACAUUUGGAAACGAAUGCUAAUACCGCAUAACAACUUUAAACAUAAGUUUUAAGUUUGAAAGAUGCAAUUGCAUCACUCAAAGAUGAUCCCGCGUUGUAUUAGCUAGUUGGUGAGGUAAAGGCUCACCAAGGCGAUGAUACAUAGCCGACCUGAGAGGGUGAUCGGCCACAUUGGGACUGAGACACGGCCCAAACUCCUACGGGAGGCAGCAGUAGGGAAUCUUCGGCAAUGGACGAAAGUCUGACCGAGCAACGCCGCGUGAGUGAAGAAGGUUUUCGGAUCGUAAAACUCUGUUGGUAGAGAAGAACGUUGGUGAGAGUGGAAAGCUCAUCAAGUGACGGUAACUACCCAGAAAGGGACGGCUAACUACGUGCCAGCAGCCGCGGUAAUACGUAGGUCCCGAGCGUUGUCCGGAUUUAUUGGGCGUAAAGCGAGCGCAGGUGGUUUAUUAAGUCUGGUGUAAAAGGCAGUGGCUCAACCAUUGUAUGCAUUGGAAACUGGUAGACUUGAGUGCAGGAGAGGAGAGUGGAAUUCCAUGUGUAGCGGUGAAAUGCGUAGAUAUAUGGAGGAACACCGGUGGCGAAAGCGGCUCUCUGGCCUGUAACUGACACUGAGGCUCGAAAGCGUGGGGAGCAAACAGGAUUAGAUACCCUGGUAGUCCACGCCGUAAACGAUGAGUGCUAGAUGUAGGGAGCUAUAAGUUCUCUGUAUCGCAGCUAACGCAAUAAGCACUCCGCCUGGGGAGUACGACCGCAAGGUUGAAACUCAAAGGAAUUGACGGGGGCCCGCACAAGCGGUGGAGCAUGUGGUUUAAUUCGAA
Molecule: ribosomal RNA, 912 nt
Filed under: Lactococcus cremoris
Lineage: Bacteria; Bacillati; Bacillota; Bacilli; Lactobacillales; Streptococcaceae
Description: bacterial SSU rRNA
Rfam family: Bacterial small subunit ribosomal RNA
Source: RNAcentral